AUUAUCUUCCAUUAUGUCGUAGGUAGGGGUAUUAUUCUAAUCAGUGGGAGGGUGGGUAGGUUACUAUAUCAUGAUUAAUUGCCAUUUACAGAUCUGCACUUGUGUAUCAGAUAUGUCAGCUAGCCCCGGUACCCAUACAGUUUUUUUAUAGCAAUAUAUGAACUAGAAUAGAACAUAGGGUCGCCAAUUAGCAACAUUUAACUCCGACCACUAACCCCUGGAAUGGAGCCCACAGAACAGUGCAGUGGAGGAGUGGGCCUUGACAGGGCCAGAGAGUGGGCAGGGAAAAAGGGGUGGGUUUAGGGUAAUGCAGCGUGGGGGUGGUCUAAGGACAGUUUAAAUAGUGGCCAUCUCAGAGAGUGGCCAUUUUAAUCUUAACUUCACUCACCUGUUAAUUGUGACAGGUCUGUGGAGUUCUUCUUUUUGUCAUUUCUGCAGGUCAUGGCGUCGCUGGAAGAAAUACUGGAUGGAGUCCGGGCGGCGGUGAUAGACAGGGGCCUAGCGUGGCUUCAUGGACAGCUGGGAGCAGCUGCCACCCCCCAAGAGGCACCGGACCGGAGGCCGGCGCGGAGGACAAGGCCACCCCAGCGGCUGAGCCCGGGUGUGGCGCAUGCUGCCCGGCGGAGGAGGAGCCCUU
This is a non-coding RNA of Pelobates cultripes (western spadefoot toad), 637 nucleotides long. NCBI's taxonomy places the organism in Eukaryota, Metazoa, Chordata, Amphibia, Anura, Pelobatidae. The record is from the annotation of a GenBank genome assembly.